This 438-nucleotide ribosomal RNA is filed under the name uncultured bacterium. Its description in RNAcentral is "bacterial SSU rRNA". It matches the Rfam family "Bacterial small subunit ribosomal RNA", at positions 339 to 794 of the family's 1533-position model. The record is from RNAcentral.
CUACGGGAGGCAGCAGUGGGGAAUAUUGCACAAUGGGCGAAAGCCUGAUGCAGCAACGCCGCGUGAGUGAUGAAGGCCUUCGGGUUGUAAAGCUCUGUCUUCUGGGACGAUAAUGACGGUACCAGAGGAGGAAGCCACGGCUAACUACGUGCCAGCAGCCGCGGUAAUACGUAGGUGGCAAGCGUUGUCCGGAUUUACUGGGCGUAAAGAAUGCGUAGGCGGAUAUUUAAGUGAGAUGUGAAAUUCCCGGGCUUAACUUGGGAGCUGCAUUUCAAACUGGAUAUCUAGAGUGCGGGAGAGGAAAGUGGAAUUCCUAGUGUAGCGGUGAAAUGCGUAGAGAUUAGGAAGAACACCAGUGGCGAAGGCGACUUUCUGGACCGUAACUGACGCUGAGGCAUGAAAGCGUGGGGAGCAAACAGGAUUAGAUACCCCGGUAGG